Molecule: ribosomal RNA, 345 nt
Filed under: uncultured eukaryote
Lineage: Eukaryota
Description: SSU rRNA
Rfam family: Eukaryotic small subunit ribosomal RNA
Source: RNAcentral
AUAGCGUAUAUUAAAGUUGUUGCAGUUAAAAAGCUCGUAGUUGAACCUUGGGCCUGGCUGCUCGGUCCGCCUAACCGCGUGCACUGAUGCGGCCGGGUCUUUCCUUCUGGCUAACCUCAUGCCCUUCACUGGGUGUGCUGGGGAUCCAGGACUUUUACUUUGAAAAAAUUAGAGUGUUCAAAGCAGGCCUUUGCUCGAAUACAUUAGCAUGGAAUAAUAGAAUAGGACGGCGGUUCUAUUUUGUUGGUUUCUAGAGCCACCGUAAUGAUUAAUAGGGAUAGUCGGGGGCAUCAGUAUUCAAUUGUCAGAGGUGAAAUUCUUGGAUUUAUUGAAGACUAACUACUG